Molecule: long non-coding RNA, 341 nt
Filed under: Hordeum vulgare
Lineage: Eukaryota; Viridiplantae; Streptophyta; Magnoliopsida; Poales; Poaceae
Description: long non-coding RNA (HVUL_LNC003025)
Source: RNAcentral
UCAUGUUGUAAUAGAUAAUAUCGACUUGCACGCCGAUGGUACGGCAACCGGCAGGAGCCAUAGGGUUGUCUUUAAACUAACGUUUGUGCUUGCAGAUGCGUUUACUAUUUUGCUAGGAUGUAGCUUUAGUAGUAAUAGCAUGAUUAGCACGACAACCCCGAUGGCGACACGUUGAUGGAGAUCAUGGUGUGACGCCGGUGACAAGAAGAUCGUGCCGGUGCUUUGGUGAUGGAGAUCAAGGAGCACGUGAUGAUGGCCAUAUCAUGUCACUUAUGAAUUGCAUGUGAUGUUAAUCCUUUUAUGCACCUUAUUUUGCUUAGAACGACGGUAGCAUUAUGAGG